UAAAAUAUGGGUCACUCUAGUAAU
This 24-nucleotide non-coding RNA is filed under the name Arabidopsis thaliana (thale cress). The record is from RNAcentral. Lineage: Eukaryota; Viridiplantae; Streptophyta; Magnoliopsida; Brassicales; Brassicaceae.